AUUGAACGCUGGCGGCAGGCCUAACACAUGCAAGUCGAACGAGGGGCGGACGGGUGAGUAAUGUAUGGGAAAAUGCCUGAGGGAGGGGGCUAACUAAUGGAAACGGUAGCUAAUACCGCAUACCAGCAGAUGUGCCCAGAUGGGAUUAGCGAGUUGGUGGGGUAACGGCGCAACAAGACGACGAUCCCUAGCUGGUCUGAGAGGAUGACCAGCCACACUGGAACUGAGACACGGUCCAGACUCCUACGGGAGGCAGCAGUGGGGAAUAUUGCACAAUGGGCGAAAGCCUGAUGCAGCCAUGCCGCGUGUAUGAAGAAGGCCUUCGGGUUGUAAAGUACUUUCAGCGGGGAGGCGUUACCCGCAGAAGAAGCACCGGCUAACUCCGUGCCAGCAGCCGCGGUAAUUC
RNAcentral lists this ribosomal RNA (406 nucleotides) under uncultured bacterium. RNAcentral's name for it is "partial 16S ribosomal RNA". It matches the Rfam family "Bacterial small subunit ribosomal RNA", at positions 29 to 526 of the family's 1533-position model. The record is from RNAcentral.